GAAUGGAUCAUGCCUAUCGCUCAUCUGCUGUGUGCUGCUGGGCAUGGUGCAGUUGGCUGGUCUGCAAGCCUGUCCAUAUGCUUUGCUGAGAGUGAUUUCUGCUGUCCCUGUGAGGAGAAAACUUUGUCCAAGGAGCAACAGCAGCCACUGGAGUAUGGAAAAUCACAGAAGGAAGUGGAUAGGUCCCAAUUGCCUUGGUGCUGACUCCAGUUGGCUGAGGCUAGAAGAGAGCAGAUCUAGUGUGUUUCCUGCUGAGCAGACCUUGGUAAAGCAAUGACACAGAUCUUCUGCAGAAAAGGAAGAGCCUGGGUGGAAAUUAAUGCAGAAGUGACAGACACAGCUGGAACUGUCUGUGAAAAGCAACCCAACCAUCUCUUCAAACACUUGGGACCAAGGGCGAUCUUCGAGGCUUCAUUAUUACACCGUUUCAGGAGCCUUCCUCUCCCCCGGGGCUGGCUCUGCUCGGAGCGCUCUCACGCAGGAAGCAGGAGAGGCCGAGGUUGCUCAGGCUGCUCGUCUCACACGGAGAGCACCACAGGGAGGACGAGGGCUCAGCAGGUGACCGGACUUCGCCGCCAACUCUGCACCACAAGGUUGCUCGAAGCCAGCUCUGCCCCACUGACCACGCUGAAUCCGAGCUCUGGGGCACACAGCCCCGCGUCUAUCAGCUGUGGAGGGGAGCACACACCCCCAGAGCAGGCGAAUUUCUCUGCAAGCAAGGAGCAAGAUCCCUCCCUGCCCUAGGUGAGUGCACUUCCCUGCUGACACAGGCUCGCCGAGACGUGCGUGCCUCCUCCUGCGGCUGGGCUGUGGGCAGCUCUGCUGGCCAGCACGCGAGGGUUAUUACCUUGCACUCCUGCACUGCAGCGUGGUGAUGGCUGCAAUUUAUCAGCCUAUUCCCUGGUGGACUGGAUUUGACCCGAGCGCUGGAGUUGUCUCGGUGCUUCCAACCCGCUCCUAUCACGUGGUGCCCACGCCAGCUUUCCUGGAAGGCAGGCUGAUCUGGCGGGAACUGCCUGACACGUCGCCAUCAGUGCAUAAUAACCUGCAUUAAAAAAAAAAAAAGAGAAAAAAGGGAAAAAAAAGACACACAACUUUCUGCACACGAUCCCACGGUAACCCUGGCAAUAUGGGCAGUACCGUCCAGAGAGCUUUCUCCUCUGGAAGGGGGGAGUUAAUGGGUUUAGAUUAUUUGUGGUUAUCUGGAUUUCAGAUUGACACCAUAAAUAUUCAAACUCUGAACCUGGCUGGAUGCAGCCGCCGCUGACUUUUGUAUGACCUAGCUGGAAACUUUAAAUCAGCUGUCGACUUGACUUUCAAGGGAAUGAACUGCUCCAAAUCCACUAGAUAGCAUCUCCUUGGUGUUUUAUUACCUCCCGAGAACCUCACUUGGGUAGGGUCCCAACUCCAGCCUCCUCUCAGAAAGCAGAGCUUUGUUAGCCUCGCUUAAAGCCGCCGGUGGGAGCAGGGGUGCCCUACCUCGUGGCAGCACACAGGGUUAUUAAAAAAUGCACAUGAUUAAUAUACCAGCGGAGUGAGUCCAGAUGCAAGCCUAGCUGCGUGUUAUUAAUAGGCUAACAUAGAUCUCUAUCAAUGGCACUUUGUGUGCUCCAUUUUGGGUUGUUUUUUUCCUUUUUUUUUUUUAUUUUUAAGUGUUCCUUUGUCAUUCGAGAUGGUUGUGUAGGGCUUCUCUGUGGGUACUGAAUGCGUUUUGGUCCAGACUUGUGGUGUGCUCUUGUUGUGG
RNAcentral lists this long non-coding RNA (1744 nucleotides) under Anas platyrhynchos platyrhynchos (common mallard). Its description in RNAcentral is "lncRNA (ENSAPLG00000018390.1)". The record is from RNAcentral. Lineage: Eukaryota; Metazoa; Chordata; Aves; Anseriformes; Anatidae.